This 85-nucleotide small RNA is filed under the name uncultured Lactobacillus sp. Its description in RNAcentral is "Lacto-usp RNA". It matches the Rfam family "Lacto-usp RNA". Lineage: Bacteria; Bacillati; Bacillota; Bacilli; Lactobacillales; Lactobacillaceae. The record is from RNAcentral.
GAUCAAACUAUAAGACGUGGGAGUUGGCGAAUAACUACCGAAUCGGAAUAUUGCCUUGUCGCAAGAUCCAUAUUCGCUGCGACGU